This 465-nucleotide ribosomal RNA is filed under the name Vreelandella stevensii. Its description in RNAcentral is "partial 16S ribosomal RNA". It matches the Rfam family "Bacterial small subunit ribosomal RNA", at positions 338 to 795 of the family's 1533-position model. Lineage: Bacteria; Pseudomonadati; Pseudomonadota; Gammaproteobacteria; Oceanospirillales; Halomonadaceae. The record is from RNAcentral.
CCUACGGGUGGCAGCAGUGGGGAAUAUUGGACAAUGGGGGGAACCCUGAUCCAGCCAUGCCGCGUGUGUGAAGAAGGCCCUCGGGUUGUAAAGCACUUUCAGUGAGGAAGAACGCCUGGUGGUUAAUACCCAUCAGGAAAGACAUCACUCACAGAAGAAGCACCGGCUAACUCCGUGCCAGCAGCCGCGGUAAUACGGAGGGUGCGAGCGUUAAUCGGAAUUACUGGUCGUAAAGCGCGCGUAGGUGGCUUGAUAAGCCGGUUGUGAAAGCCCCGGGCUCAACCUGGGAACGGCAUCCGGAACUGUCAAGCUAGAGUGCAGGAGAGGAAGGUAGAAUUCCCGGUGUAGCGGUGAAAUGCGUAGAGAUCGGGAGGAAUACCAGUGGCGAAGGCGGCCUUCUGGACUGACACUGACACUGAGGUGCGAAAGCGUGGGUAGCAAACAGGAUUAGAUACCCUAGUAGUC